GACGAACGCUGGCGGCGUGGAUUAGGCAUGCAAGUCGAACGGUAUCAUCCUUUCGGGGGUGAGAGAGUGGCGAACUGGUGAGUAACACGUAGGUUAUCUACCCUCAAGACGGGGACAACCCAGGGAAACUUGGGCUAAUACCGGAUGUGAGCAACUUUUAGUUGUUUGAAAGGUGGCGUAAGCUGUCGCUUGGGGAUGAGCCUGCGUCCUAUUAGUUAGUUGGUGAGGUAACGGCUCACCUAGGCAAUGAUAGGUAGGCGGCCUUAACGGGUGGUCGCCCACACUGGGAUUGAGAUACGGCCCAGACUCCUACGGGAGGCAGCAGUCGAGAAUAGUCUACAAUGGUCGGAAGACUGAUAGUGCGACGCCGCGUGAACGAUGAAUCCCUUCGGGGUGUAAAGUUCUUUUAUAUGUGAGCAGUGCUUCUUAUAUUAACAGUAUGGGGAAGAGAUAUUAGCAUAUGAAUAAGCAACGGCUAACUCGUGCCAGCAGCCGAGU
Molecule: ribosomal RNA, 498 nt
Filed under: uncultured bacterium
Lineage: Bacteria
Description: bacterial SSU rRNA
Rfam family: Bacterial small subunit ribosomal RNA
Source: RNAcentral